This 468-nucleotide ribosomal RNA is filed under the name uncultured bacterium. Its description in RNAcentral is "partial 16S ribosomal RNA". It matches the Rfam family "Bacterial small subunit ribosomal RNA", at positions 28 to 523 of the family's 1533-position model. The record is from RNAcentral.
GACGAACGCUGGCGGCGUGCUUAACACAUGCAAGUCGAACGGACCUUCGGGUUAGUGGCGAACGGGUGAGUAACACGUGGGUGAUCUGCCCUGCACUUUGGGAUAAGCCUGGGAAACUGGGUCUAAUACCGAAUAGGACCACGGCAUUCAUGUGCUGUGGUGGAAAGCUUUUGCGGUGUGGGAUGGGCCCGCGGCCUAUCAGCUUGUUGGUGGGGUAAUGGCCUACCAAGGCGACGACGGGUAGCCGGCCUGAGAGGGUGACCGGCCACACUGGGACUGAGAUACGGCCCAGACUCCUACGGGAGGCAGCAGUGGGGAAUAUUGCACAAUGGGCGCAAGCCUGAUGCAGCGACGCCGCGUGAGGGAUGACGGCCUUCGGGUUGUAAACCUCUUUCGCCAGGGACGAAGCGCAAGUGACGGUACCUGGAGAAGAAGGACCGGCCAACUACGUGCCAGCAGCCGCGGUAA